CAAUAGCGUAUAUUUAAGUUGCUGCAGUUAAAAAGCUCGUAGUUGGAUUUCGGGUGGGAAUGGCCGGUCCGCCGUUUCGGUGUGCACUUGCUACGCCCACCUUGCUGCCGGGGACGUGCUCUUGAGUUCACGCUCGGGACACGGAGUCGGCGAGGUUACUUUGAGUAAAUUAGAGUGUUCAAAGCAGGCCUACGCUCUGAAUACAUUAGCAUGGAAUAACACGAUAGGACUCUGGCCUAUCUUGUUGGUCUGUAGGACCGGAGUAAUGAUUAAGAGGGACAGUCGGGGGCAUUCGGAUUUCAUUGUCAGAGGUGAAAUUCUUGGAUUUAUGAAAGACGAACUACUGCGAAAGCAUUUGCCAAGGAUGUUUUCAUUAA
Molecule: ribosomal RNA, 377 nt
Filed under: uncultured eukaryote
Lineage: Eukaryota
Description: partial 18S ribosomal RNA
Rfam family: Eukaryotic small subunit ribosomal RNA
Source: RNAcentral